Molecule: ribosomal RNA, 85 nt
Filed under: Oryza glaberrima (African rice)
Lineage: Eukaryota; Viridiplantae; Streptophyta; Magnoliopsida; Poales; Poaceae
Description: rRNA EPlOGLG00000000441
Source: RNAcentral
UGUAAAUGUCCGUGGAUAUAUUAUUUGCCUGAUUCCGAGUCCGUAUGAGAAAGUUACGCCUGAUUUAAGAAAUGGCACCCAAAUG